Non-coding RNA from Podarcis lilfordi (Lilford's wall lizard), 73 nucleotides. NCBI's taxonomy places the organism in Eukaryota, Metazoa, Chordata, Lepidosauria, Squamata, Lacertidae. The record is from the annotation of a GenBank genome assembly.
GCUGGGAUAGCUCAGUCAGUAGAGCAUGAGACUCUUAAUCUCAGGGCCAUGGGUUUGAGCCCCACAUUGGGCA